This 143-nucleotide non-coding RNA is filed under the name Trichobilharzia regenti. RNAcentral's name for it is "Eukaryotic large subunit ribosomal RNA". It matches the Rfam family "Eukaryotic large subunit ribosomal RNA", at positions 813 to 954 of the family's 3401-position model. The record is from Rfam by way of RNAcentral. Lineage: Eukaryota; Metazoa; Platyhelminthes; Trematoda; Strigeidida; Schistosomatidae.
GACUCAAAAGUUGGUUAACUGUGCUUGCGAAGGUUGAAGCCAGACGAAACUCUGGUGGAGGACCAUAGUGAUUCUGAGAUGCGAAUCCAUAGUAUAAACAUCAUUAUAGGGGCGAAAGAAUAAUCGAACCAUCUAGUAGCUGG